GACGAACGCUGGCGGCGUGCUUAACACAUGCAAGUCGAACGGAAAGGCCCUGCUUUUGUGGGGUGCUCGAGUGGCGAACGGGUGAGUAACACGUGAGUAACCUGCCCUUGACUUUGGGAUAACUUCAGGAAACUGGGGCUAAUACCGGAUAGGAGCUCCUGCUGCAUGGUGGGGGUUGGAAAGUUUCGGCGGUUGGGGAUGGACUCGCGGCUUAUCAGCUUGUUGGUGGGGUAGUGGCAUACCAAGGCUUUGACGGGUAGCCGGCCUGAGAGGGUGACCGGGCACAUGGGGACUGAGGUACGGACCAGACUGCUACGGGAGGCAGCAGGGGGGAAUAUUGCACAAUGGGCGGAAGCCUGAUGCAGCAACGCCGCGUGCGGGAUGACGGCCUUCGGGUUGUAAACCGCUUUCGCCUGUGACGAAGCGUGAGUGACGGUAAUGGGUAAAGAAGCACCGGCUAACUACGUG
RNAcentral lists this ribosomal RNA (468 nucleotides) under uncultured bacterium. RNAcentral describes it as "partial 16S ribosomal RNA". It matches the Rfam family "Bacterial small subunit ribosomal RNA", at positions 28 to 507 of the family's 1533-position model. The record is from RNAcentral.